UGACAUUCGACUGCGAAAUAGGAAUUCAUGCAAGCGGAAAGUUCAUAUCGAGUAUCUAAGAAGUCUUGCACUUGUGUGUUAAUGUUUCAUAAUCGUAUGUGGUAGUCAUCUUGAACGGCUGUUUUUCGUAAUAAUGGCAGGUUACGUCCCAUAAACUAUGGACAGCCAGCAUAUGCGCCUACUGGCUACGUACCUCAACCUCAGAUGGUGGCAGCUCAGCCUGUAGUAUCUCAGCCUUUUGUUCAACCAGCUAUGGCCACAGCCCCUGUAAUGGCUGCUCCAGUUGCACAGCCUGUAGUUGCCCAACCUAUGGUUCAGCCAGUUGUUCAAUCCCUUCCAGUUGCUCAGCCAGCUGUUUCGAUGGUAUCUGUAUCUCCAAUGGCGGCCGUUGCUCCUACGAUUAUCUACGCGAGAAGAAAUCCUUUCCGACGAGGAUAUUAUUGAGGUUCCGAUUAAGUUUCCUGACAAACUGAUUUUUAACUUGCUGUCCUGGUAUGGAUAAUGGAGCCAGUGUUUUAAGUAAUUUUUAGCAACUAAAUUAAAAUUUGACUACA
Molecule: long non-coding RNA, 554 nt
Organism: Macrobrachium nipponense
Lineage: Eukaryota; Metazoa; Arthropoda; Malacostraca; Decapoda; Palaemonidae
Exons: 4
Source: RefSeq, a predicted model, not a curated record